GUAGAUUCAUUUCUAUGGUACGUGUAUGUUACUAUGUUUCAAAAAUGUUCCUUGGAUCAAUAAUUGUUAUCCUAAUGCCUAUAAUGAUUUCCUCAAGCCACCACGAGCAUAUACUCCUUGCUACCUGAAACGUAUUUUUCUUAACAUUGUCAUUGUUCUCACAUCAAAUGGCUGCUUCACGUAAGUCUCCCCAGAAAACAUGUUCUGAGAUCUGUAGAAAACCCUAUGAUAAUGACUAUAUUGAGCUUUAAGUGAUCUUGGCAGCCUUAUCU
This 272-nucleotide unclassified non-coding RNA is filed under the name Hevea brasiliensis (rubber tree). Lineage: Eukaryota; Viridiplantae; Streptophyta; Magnoliopsida; Malpighiales; Euphorbiaceae. The record is from RNAcentral.